CAAAACUCGAAUAUGGUUGGCCAUAUCAUCGAAUUUUCUGUUGAACUCUUCAGAGAUUGAAUCAAUUUUCUUGAGCAGGGUGUUUUCGGCGAGAAUCUGCUGAUCAAGGAAUUGGUUUAUCAUUCCUUCGAGGCGUCCCAAACGUCUGCUGAUCCUCAAGUUGUCCUCUUGCUGACUAGGGUUCUGAAGUGGAGGAUUAUAGGCGUGUGGCUCGAAGUAGGUCGGAGGAGGGCCAUAAGGAUCUUCCCGGCGUCGAACAGUCUCUCUGCGCCGGUGGUAAGGGUGGUUUGGCUGGCUGUAUCGAUCCAUGUAGCUAGGAUUUCGGACUUGGUGUUCUUCUCUGCGUCUGGUGGCUUGAGAAGUGUUAU
This 368-nucleotide long non-coding RNA is filed under the name Eutrema salsugineum. RNAcentral's name for it is "long non-coding RNA (ESAL_LNC000761)". Lineage: Eukaryota; Viridiplantae; Streptophyta; Magnoliopsida; Brassicales; Brassicaceae. The record is from RNAcentral.